This 563-nucleotide ribosomal RNA is filed under the name Salmonella enterica. Its description in RNAcentral is "partial 23S ribosomal RNA". It matches the Rfam family "Bacterial large subunit ribosomal RNA", at positions 711 to 1270 of the family's 2925-position model. RNAcentral also lists the same sequence under 2 other names. The record is from RNAcentral. Lineage: Bacteria; Pseudomonadati; Pseudomonadota; Gammaproteobacteria; Enterobacterales; Enterobacteriaceae.
AGACCCGAAACCCGGUGAUCUAGCCAUGGGCAGGUUGAAGGUUGGGUAACACUAACUGGAGGACCGAACCGACUAAUGUUGAAAAAUUAGCGGAUGACCUGUGGCUGGGGGUGAAAGGCCAAUCAAACCGGGAGAUAGCUGGUUCUCCCCGAAAGCUAUUUAGGUAGCGCCUCGUGAAUUCAUCUCCGGGGGUAGAGCACUGUUUCGGCUAGGGGGCCAUCCCGGCUUACCAACCCGAUGCAAACUGCGAAUACCGGAGAAUGUUAUCACGGGAGACACACGGCGGGUGCUAACGUCCGUCGUGAAGAGGGAAACAACCCAGACCGCCAGCUAAGGUCCCAAAGUCAUGGUUAAGUGGGAAACGAUGUGGGAAGGCCCAGACAGCCAGGAUGUUGGCUUAGAAGCAGCCAUCAUUUAAAGAAAGCGUAAUAGCUCACUGGUCGAGUCGGCCUGCGCGGAAGAUGUAACGGGGCUAAACCAUGCACCGAAGCUGCGGCAGCGACGCUUAUGCGUUGUUGGGUAGGGGAGCGUUCUGUAAGCCUGUGAAGGUGGCCUGUGAGGGU